GGGAUUACAGGUGUGAGCCACCACCCGGCCUGUGUUCUCCAGCGCCGCCUGAUGUUGCAUCAGGUGCUUAUUGGUGUAUUUGGUUUGUGUCGGCCUCCACCAGGAUGUCAGCAAAUUGAGGGGAAGGACUUUGCCUAUCUUCCUACUGUAUUCCCAGCACCCUGAACAAGAUCCAACACUCAGUAUGGGAUCAAGUAAUGUAUGAGGAAUGAAUGAAUGAGCAGCAGCCCUGAAUGUAGAAUUGAACAAUACUCAUAAUCACAAUUCUCAGGAUCAAUGUCUGGCACCUAUGAAGGAGAGGGAAGGAAGGGCAUCUCUCACCGGAGAAGGAGUGAGUCUUCCAGACGGCAGCAGGAGACUGGUCCCCUGGGAUGUGGUAGGCAGGAGAGUCUUGCUCUGUUGUACAGGCUGGAGUGCAGUGACGCGAUCUCGGCUUACUGCAACGGAA
This 448-nucleotide long non-coding RNA is filed under the name Homo sapiens (human). RNAcentral describes it as "HSALNT0177216". The record is from RNAcentral. Lineage: Eukaryota; Metazoa; Chordata; Mammalia; Primates; Hominidae.